Molecule: small nucleolar RNA, 110 nt
Filed under: Saimiri boliviensis boliviensis (Bolivian squirrel monkey)
Lineage: Eukaryota; Metazoa; Chordata; Mammalia; Primates; Cebidae
Description: Small nucleolar RNA SNORA51 (ENSSBOG00000005504.1)
Rfam family: Small nucleolar RNA SNORA51
About the family: ACA51 is a member of the H/ACA class of snoRNA that guide the sites of modification of uridines to pseudouridines.
Source: RNAcentral
GUGGGCCUGUCUUCUCUGUUCUUACACUGACUGUACAGAAAGAGACCCACCCUAUAUACACCUCUGCCCAGGCCCUAUGCCUGGUCUGAAUUGUGAAUGAGGGGACACAG